UGGGGAAUAUUGCACAAUGGGCGAAAGCCUGAUGCAGCGACGCCGCGUGAGGGAUGACGGCCUUCGGGUUGUAAACCUCUUUCAGCAGGGAGGAAGCGAAAGUGACGGUACCUGCAGAAGAAGCGCCGGCUAACUACGUGCCAGCAGCCGCGGUAAUACGUAGGGCGCAAGCGUUGUCCGGAAUUAUUGGGCGUAAAGAGCUCGUAGGCGGUUAGUCGCGUCUGCUGUGAAAACUCGAGGCUCAACCUCGGGCUUGCAGUGGGUACGGGCUGACUAGAGUGCGGUAGGGGUGACUGGAAUUCCUGGUGUAGCGGUGGAAUGCGCAGAUAUCAGGAGGAACACCGAUGGCGAAGGCAGGUCACUGGGCCGCAACUGACGCUGAGGAGCGAAAGCAUGGGGAGCGAACAGGAUUAGAUACCCUGGUAGUCCAUGCCGUAAACGUUGGGCACUAGGUGU
RNAcentral lists this ribosomal RNA (456 nucleotides) under uncultured bacterium. RNAcentral describes it as "partial 16S ribosomal RNA". It matches the Rfam family "Bacterial small subunit ribosomal RNA", at positions 355 to 823 of the family's 1533-position model. The record is from RNAcentral.